UAAAAAAUUAUUAUUUUUGCCACGUGACACACAGGUGGCAGCCAUAUCAGCGCUUAACGGAUCAAUGGAUGAAAAAUGUAACGGAGGUAUUAUUUUGAAAUAAAAUAGUACGUGAGGUAUGAAAGUAAAAUGUUUUUAAAAUGUUAUAUGAGGUUGUAAUAUACCUCAAAUCUGAUGGGCUAUUAUAUAAUUUACCCAUAAAGAAAUUUGCUUCAAUUCGAUUGAUACAAGAUUCAUGGUAUGACCCACAUCUGUCAACCUUAGGCACUUGUCGGAUCUACUAAAAAAUGGAAAAGCUAAUUUUCUUCCUAAUUAACUAGGAUAUGGUUUCUUAAUGCAGCAGACAUAUUGUAUGUAAUGUUAUUAAUUCAUGUAAUAUAAAAUUAGUGCAUAACGAGUUUAAACUUAAAGAGUUAGUAUUAAGUAAGUUAAAAGUCGGUUCCCUCCAAUGUAUUAAAAAACAAAAACAAAAAUUCAUGAAGUUAUAACGUAAUUGUUGAUUUUGGCUUGUUUUGCUAGCUACUAUUUCACCAUGCAUACUCAAACAUUAAAUUUUAGGGAGCUUUAAUGAAAAUGGCUUCUCCAAACUUUUUAUUAAUAAAAAAAAAUUCUAAUAACUUUAUUUAAUGAAAAUGACACAAAGCUCUAAUGAAAAGGGAUUUUCCAAAGUUUUUCUUAAUCAAAAGCACCAUAAUAACUUUAUUUAAUGAAGAGGACACAAAAUUUAAUGAAAAGGGCUUCUCCAAACUACUGCAACAAUUUCUAGAAUUGAGUAAUGCCACUAGUUCUAGAGCUGAACAUUGACACUACAACUAUUUCUAGAGUUGAACACUGCAAUUGUUUCAAGAAUUGAACACUACAACUGUUUCUAGAAUUGAACACUGCAACUGUUUCUAUAAUUAAAUACUGCAACUAUUUUCAAAACUAAACACUCCAACUAUUUCUAAAACUAAGCACUACAACUAAUUCUAGAACUGAACACUGGCACUAUUUUUAGACCUGAACAUUGCAACUAUUUUUAGAACGAAACACUACAACUAUUUCUAGAAUUGAAGACUGCCACUAUUUCUAGAAUUGAAUAUUGACCUGUUUUUAGAAAUGAACACUGCAACUAUUUGUAGAAUUGAACACUGCCACUAUUUAUAGAACUACACACUGCCAUUAUUUCUAAAUCCAAAUAUGAAAGUAUCAAUUUUGAGUAAGCAAUUACAUGGAAAAGAAGACCAUAAGGAAAGGAUUAAACUUCUCUCUCGGGCUGAAAACCAAUUAUGUCAAGUUUGGUUAAAAAUUGGCAAAAAUGUUCGGAAAAACGUCACAUUUGGAGAGCUUGAUCUCCCUAAACAUUGAGUUUCAACGUAUGCGUCUUGUAUUUGAAGAAAGAGGGUGUCAAUACAAACUCGUAGCCUUUAACCUUGCGUGAUUUUUAUUACUGUGUGAGAGACUUUUGAACAAUCUAAUAUUGGAAAGGAGAAAAAAGGAUUUGUCCUAAAUAUUAAAUAAAAUUAUGAAGGUGCAUUGGUUAAGAUUCAAAGUUUUAGAUCUUAGUUUUUCUUAAAUUUUAUGCUAGAAAAUGUCAAUGGUCAUGAAUUGUAAACAAAGAAAACUCAAAGUAGCCAUGUUAUACAUGAUCUGACCCUCCAACAAGCGGUCCCCCAAAACUUGCAUGAUUUUUCUUGAUACCUUUAUUUCUGUGUAAAUAUGGAAUCCAAGCAAAAAGCAUCAUAACAUGGAGAUCAUUGUGGUCUCCAAAACCCUCCCCUCCCCCCUAGUUGACAAAUAAAGCUAGUUAUACAUUUGCUUGUCCUUUUGCGUGAUCAUGAAGACGUUUCCUAUCUCUUUGAUAUUUUUACCCCUUUGCUUUUUUUCUUCUUAAUUCGGGCAAUAAAUUUCUAGUGUUGUUACACUUAGAGGUGGAUUGUUUGCCCUCCUAUUUCCAUACUCUUCCUAUCCCCUUCUGUUUGUGUGGUCACGGUUAAGCCACAUCAAUAUUUUAUAUUGAUUUUUUUAUAAAAAUAAUAAAACAAAAAGUAAUAGGAAUAUAAAAUGUUGAUAUGACUUAACCGUGACCACACAAAACAGGAGGGGAUAAGAAGAGUAUGUAAAUGGGAGGACAGACAAUCUUACUUGCCUGUUGUAUUGUUUUGCUCAUUUUAUAUGUAUUUUUAUUAAAUAUUUUGACUAAUUAAUGAGUGAGAAAAUAUGACAAAUAAAUAGAUGUAAUAACAGUUAUGACUCUUGAAAAAAUAAAAAAAGUCGGUGUGCGUGGUAGCACUCUUAAUUGUUUUCAUGAAAGCAUGUCAAAAGAGAUGACUCUCGUAGCCCCCACAAGCCUCAAAAGUAUGAGUUUGCUUAACAAGUAAAAGAGAGAAAAACAAGAAGGGGAUUGUUUUUUCCUUCUUAUGAUGCUUAAUUGGAAGAACUCAGUUACCAAUUACUGGAGUGUUCUAUGAUAAUUAAUUAAAAGCAAAAGUUAAAAGCAAAAAUUAACUAGCCAGCUUGACUGGACUAAAGUGUGAUUAUAUAGGUAGAAAUCCACAAUCAUGGCUUUUGAAAGCCCGCAAUUAUCUGUCAAACUUUGACAAAUCUCAAAUUCCUUAAUUAAUCAAUCUAAAAUUGAACAUAUGCUAGAAGCACAUUGGCUAUGAUUCUAAGAUUAAAACACUAGUAUGUGGUUCAACAUUUGAACAAAUAUGGUGUUAAAUUUUCACCCAUGUGUCCUGGGUUCGAAACUUGUCUCGUUUCUUAAAUUAUUGUAAUAAUUUCAAACCUUCGACUCUCUUCUUAAUAAUAGGAAGAAAAAAAAAACAGAUCGAAACACUAAUUGGACUUCCUAGGCAGGCCUGCAGGCUUAGUUAGGAUUUUGUUCAUAUAUUAAUUAACCAUCAAAUCUCAUCCCAUAUUGCUUGCAAAUACUAGACACGUAUAUGAUUAGCCCUCAAUAAACCUGUCUUUGUCUUCCUUAAUUUACAAACCCUUCAGCAUUGUGCUAAUUGGAUUGGAAUAUCAUGUACAGAAAACGAUCGAGCUAGGAUUUAAUUCAAAUCUUUGAGUGCAUGAAUACUGAAAUCAAAUUUGCUCACGCAACUGUAGGUAGUUCAUUGUAUGUAUACCAUCAGUUGAGGAUGACCGUUUUUAAUUAAAAAAAUCGGGUGUGCAACGAUAUUAUUAUGAUAUUGUUUUAAAUGCAUUAAUAACAUGUUGUUACAUUUUUAUUGAUGUUAUAGAAAAUAACAUGUAUAAACCGCAUAUAUUAUUUCACACAAAAAUUUGUGCAAGUUAACCAUUGCUAGUAUAUCACUGUAUUAUUACCAAGUCUUCGCACAUAUAUUGUAUAUCAGUUGUACGGAAGAAAAAAAAGUAUACGUAAUAUAGUCCUAACAACUUGAUUUUAUUUCAUAUUCUAACACAUCAAAAUAAAGUUUUCUUGUACAACAAGCAUUAAUACGAACUGGGCAUUUGGGUGACAUGAAAUUGGGAGGUUCUGCCGAAUCUACAGGACUCGUUUAAUUAGCCAAACUCAGAAGCUAUGUAUGUUUACAAGUUUCAUGAGGUGUAGCCAUAGCCAUGACCAAGGUUCUAAAAGUCACUAGGCGUUAGUCGGGCGGCGGGUUGGGGCCUAACUCCUAGGCGGCUAGGCGGACUAGGCGGAUUUAAGUAAAUCUAUCAUAUUUCAUGUAAAUAAGUGUAUGCUUCUACUUGAAAUAUAUAUAAUUUCAUCAUAAACUACAAAAUAGAAUGCAUAUAUAUCAUGAAGUAUUGGAACAUAAUGAAAACAUGUGAAAUAAGGAUAUAAUGUUUGUUCAUUCAAGUAUGCAACAAGUCUCUUACAAUUUAUUGAAAAAAAAACAAAAUGCAAAAUGAAAGUUAUGUAUUUUCUGUCUAAGUGAGUUGCAAACUAGGUAGGUCUAGGUGG
Molecule: long non-coding RNA, 3913 nt
Filed under: Malus domestica (apple)
Lineage: Eukaryota; Viridiplantae; Streptophyta; Magnoliopsida; Rosales; Rosaceae
Description: long non-coding RNA (MDOM_LNC003971)
Source: RNAcentral